Molecule: ribosomal RNA, 480 nt
Filed under: uncultured bacterium
Lineage: Bacteria
Description: bacterial SSU rRNA
Rfam family: Bacterial small subunit ribosomal RNA
Source: RNAcentral
AGUGAACGCUGGCGGCAGGCCUAAUACAUGCAAGUCGAACGGCAGCACAGCAGAGCUUGCUCUGUGGGUGGCGAGUGGCGGACGGGUGAGGAAUACGUGGGAAUCUGCCCAGUCGUGGGGAUAACGUAGGGAAACUUACGCUAAUACCGCAUGCGCCCUUCGGGGAAAGCCGGGGACCUUCGGGCCUGGCGCGAUUGGAUGAGCCCACGUCGGAUUAACUAGUUGGCGGGGUAAAGGCCCACCAAGGCGACGAUCCGUAGCUGGUCUGAGAGGAUGAUCAGCCACACUGGAACUGAGACACGGUCCAGACUCCUACGGGAGGCAGCAGUAGGGAAUAUUGGACAAUGGGCGCAAGCCUGAUCCAGCCAUGCCGCGUGAGUGAAGAAGGCCCUCGGGUUGUAAAGCUCUUUUGUCCCGGAAAGAAAAGACGCCGGGUUAAUACCCUGGUGUCCUGACGGUACCGGAAGAAUAAGACACCGG